UACGUAGGGGGCGAGCGUUGUCCGGAGUUACUGGCGUAAAGCGCACGCAGGCGGUCUGCUAAGUUUGGAGUGACAGUUGGUGGCUUAACUGCCAAAGUGCUUCGAAAACUGACAGACUUGAGGGCUUCAGAGGGACACGGAAUUCCGGGUGGAGUGGUGAAAUGCGUAGAGAUCCGGAGGAACACCGAUGGCGAAGGCAGGUCUCUGGGCCACUACUGACGCUGAGAAGCGAAAGCAUGGGGAGC
RNAcentral lists this ribosomal RNA (245 nucleotides) under uncultured bacterium. Its description in RNAcentral is "partial 16S ribosomal RNA". It matches the Rfam family "Bacterial small subunit ribosomal RNA", at positions 524 to 769 of the family's 1533-position model. The record is from RNAcentral.